This 467-nucleotide ribosomal RNA is filed under the name uncultured bacterium. RNAcentral's name for it is "partial 16S ribosomal RNA". It matches the Rfam family "Bacterial small subunit ribosomal RNA", at positions 28 to 506 of the family's 1533-position model. The record is from RNAcentral.
GACGAACGCUGGCGGCGUGCUUAACACAUGCAAGUCGAACGGAAAGGCCCUGCUUUUGUGGGGUGCUCGAGUGGCGAACGGGUGAGUAACACGUGAGUAACCUGCCCUUGACUUUGGGAUAACUUCAGGAAACUGGGGCUAAUACCGGAUAGGAGCUCCUGCUGCAUGGUGGGGGUUGGAAAGUUUCGGCGGUUGGGGAUGGACUCGCGGCUUAUCAGCUUGUUGGUGGGGUCGUGGCUUACCAAGGCUUUGACGGGUAGCCGGCCUGAGAGGGUGACCGGCCACAUUGGGACUGAGAUACGGCCCAGACUCCUACGGGAGGCAGCAGUGGGGAAUAUUGCACAAUGGGCGGAAGCCUGAUGCAGCAACGCCGCGUGCGGGAUGACGGCCUUCGGGUUGUAAACCGCUUUCGCCUGUGACGAAGCGUGAGUGACGGUAAUGGGUAAAGAAGCACCGGCGAACUACGU